Molecule: ribosomal RNA, 497 nt
Filed under: uncultured bacterium
Lineage: Bacteria
Description: partial 16S ribosomal RNA
Rfam family: Bacterial small subunit ribosomal RNA
Source: RNAcentral
GAUGAACGCUGGCGGCGUGCCUAAUACAUGCAAGUCGAGCGAACAGACGAGGAGCUUGCUCCUCUGACGUUAGCGGCGGACGGGUGAGUAACACGUGGAUAACCUACCUAUAAGACUUGGAUAACUUCGGGAAACCGGAGCUACUACCGGAUAAUAUAUUGAACCGCAUGGUUCAAUAGUGAAAGACGGGUUUGCUGUCACUUAUAGAUGGAUCCGCGCCGCAUUAGCUAGUUGGUAAGGUAACGGCUUACCAAGGCAACGAUGCGUAGCCGACCUGAGAGGGUGAAGGGGCACACUGGAGCUGAGAGACGGUCCAGACUCCUAGGGGAGGCAGAAGUAGGGAAUGUUCCGCGAUGGGCGAAAGCUUGACGGAGCAACGCCGCGUGAGUGAUGAAGGUCUUCGGAUCGUAUAACUCUGUUCUUAGGGAAGAACAAAUGUGUAAGUAACUAUGCACGUCUUGACGGUACCUAGUCAGAAAGCCCCGGCUAACUACGUG